Molecule: ribosomal RNA, 1388 nt
Rfam family: Bacterial small subunit ribosomal RNA
UGAAGGCCCCCCGUUUUUUGGGGGGGUUUAGGGGGGGAACCGGUGGGAAUACACCGGGGGUAAACCUGCCCUUUAACUUGGGGAUAAAGCCUGGGAAACUUGGGUUCAAAUCCCGGAUAGGGAGCGCCUUCCCCCAUGGUGGGGGUUUGGAAAAGAUUUUUCGGUUUUGGAAUGGACUCGCGGCCCUUUCCAGCUUGUUGGGGGAGGUAAUGGCUCCACCAAGGCGGACGACGGGUAACCCGCCUGGAGAGGGUGACCCGGCCACACUGGGACUGAGACCCGGCCCCAGAUUCCUACGGGAGGCAGCAGUGGGGAAUAUUGCACAAUGGGCGAAAGCCUGAUGCAGCGACGCCCGCGUGAGGGAUGACGGCCUUUCGGGUUGUAAACCUUUUUUCAGUAGGGAAGAAGCGAAAGUGACGGUACCUGCAGAAGAAGCACCGGCUAACUACGUGCCAGCAGCCGCGGUAAUACGUAGGGUGCGAGCGUUAUCCGGAAUUAUUGGGCGUAAAGAGCUCGUAGGCGGUUUGUCGCGUCUGUCGUGAAAGUCCGGGGCUUAACCCCGGAUCUGCGGUGGGUACGGGCAGACUAGAGUGCAGUAGGGGAGACUGGAAUUCCUGGUGUAGCGGUGGAAUGCGCAGAUAUCAGGAGGAACACCGAUGGCGAAGGCAGGUCUCUGGGCUGUAACUGACGCUGAGGAGCGAAAGCAUGGGGAGCGAACAGGAUUAGAUACCCUGGUAGUCCAUGCCGUAAACGUUGGGCACUAGGUGUGGGGACCAUUCCACGGUUUCCGCGCCGCAGCUAACGCAUUAAGUGCCCCGCCUGGGGAGUACGGCCGCAAGGCUAAAACUCAAAGGAAUUGACGGGGGCCCGCACAAGCGGCGGAGCAUGCGGAUUAAUUCGAUGCAACGCGAAGAACCUUACCAAGGCUUGACAUGUUCCCGAUCGCCGUAGAGAUACGGUUUCCCCUUUGGGGCGGGUUCACAGGUGGUGCAUGGUUGUCGUCAGCUCGUGUCGUGAGAUGUUGGGUUAAGUCCCGCAACGAGCGCAACCCUCGUUCCAUGUUGCCAGCACGUAAUGGUGGGGACUCAUGGGAGACUGCCGGGGUCAACUCGGAGGAAGGUGAGGACGACGUCAAAUCAUCAUGCCCCUUAUGUCUUGGGCUUCACGCAUGCUACAAUGGCCGGUACAAUGGGUUGCGAUACUGUGAGGUGGAGCUAAUCCCAAAAAGCCGGUCUCAGUUCGGAUUGGGGUCUGCAACUCGACCCCAUGAAGUCGGAGUCGCUAGUAAUCGCAGAUCAGCAACGCUGCGGUGAAUACGUUCCCGGGCCUUGUACACACCGCCCGUCAAGUCACGAAAGUUGGUAACACCCGAAGCCGGUGCCUAACCC